This is a long non-coding RNA of Coregonus clupeaformis (lake whitefish), 719 nucleotides long. RefSeq lists it as uncharacterized. The record is from RefSeq and is a predicted model, not a curated record. The transcript has 5 exons. Lineage: Eukaryota; Metazoa; Chordata; Actinopteri; Salmoniformes; Salmonidae.
UAAAACACAUUCAGACACUCAAGCAAAACACCAGCCAAAACAUCUGAUAUUGCUAUGCUGCUGUUUUCCUAUGUAUUUUAUUUAAAUCAUAGUUUGUUUAAUAAAAUACCUUGAUGAAGCCUUGUAGAUGCAGGUUGUGUUAGUGGAGGCAGGGUGGAGGCAGGUUGUAUUAGUGGAGGCAGGCUGUGUUAGUGGAGGAAGGUUGGAGGCAGGUUGUAUUAGUGGAGGCAGGUUGUAUUAGUGGAGGCAGGUUGUAUUAGUGGAGGCAGGUUGUAUUAGUGGAGGCAGGUUGUAUUAGUGGAGGCAGGUUGGAGGCAGGUUGUAUUAGUGGAGGCAGGUUGUAUUAGUGGAGGCAGGUUGUGUUAGUGGAGGCAGGUUGUGUUAGUGGAGGCAGGUUGUAUUAGUGGAGGCAGGUUGUAUUAGUGGAGGCAGGUUGUGUUAGUGGAGGCAGGUUGUAUUAGUGGAGGCAGGUUGGAGGCAGGUUGUAUUAGUGGAGGCAGGUUGGAGGCAGGUUGUAUUAGUGGAGGCAGGUUGUAUUAGUGGAGGCAGGCUGUGUUAGUGGAGGCAGGUUGUAUUAGUGGAGGCAGGUUGUAUUAGUGGAGGCAGGUUGGAGGCAGGUUGGAGGCAGGUUGUAUUAGUGGAGGCAGGUUGUAUUAGUGGAGGCAGGUUGUAUUAGUGGAGGCAGGUUGUGUUAGUGGAGGCAGGUUGUGUUAGUGGAG